Molecule: ribosomal RNA, 456 nt
Filed under: Bacillus sp. R-31552
Lineage: Bacteria; Bacillati; Bacillota; Bacilli; Caryophanales; Bacillaceae
Description: bacterial SSU rRNA
Rfam family: Bacterial small subunit ribosomal RNA
Source: RNAcentral
GUUUGAUCCUGGCUCAGGACGAACGCUGGCGGCGUGCCUAAUACAUGCAAGUCGAGCGAACCACUUCGGUGGUUAGCGGCGGACGGGUGAGUAACACGUGGGCAACCUGCCUGUAAGACUGGGAUAACUUCGGGAAACCGGAGCUAAUACCGGAUAAUCCUUUUCCUCUCAUGAGGAAAAGCUGAAAGACGGUUUCGGCUGUCACUUACAGAUGGGCCCGCGGCGCAUUAGCUAGUUGGUGAGGUAACGGCUCACCAAGGCGACGAUGCGUAGCCGACCUGAGAGGGUGAUCGGCCACACUGGGACUGAGACACGGCCCAGACUCCUACGGGAGGCAGCAGUAGGGAAUCUUCCACAAUGGACGAAAGUCUGAUGGAGCAACGCCGCGUGAGCGAUGAAGGCCUUCGGGUCGUAAAGCUCUGUUGUUAGGGAAGAACAAGUACCGGAGUAACUGCC